GCUCUUGUAACUAUGUUGGUUAGAGCACUUGUUUAGUAAGCGGGGGGUCUUGAGUUCAACUCUCAACAAGAGUA
This is a transfer RNA of Ipomoea nil (Japanese morning glory), 74 nucleotides long. It matches the Rfam family "tRNA". From Rfam's summary of the family: Transfer RNA (tRNA) molecules are approximately 80 nucleotides in length. Lineage: Eukaryota; Viridiplantae; Streptophyta; Magnoliopsida; Solanales; Convolvulaceae. The record is from Rfam.